RNAcentral lists this ribosomal RNA (253 nucleotides) under uncultured bacterium. RNAcentral's name for it is "partial 16S ribosomal RNA". It matches the Rfam family "Bacterial small subunit ribosomal RNA", at positions 524 to 776 of the family's 1533-position model. The record is from RNAcentral.
UACGGAGGGUGCGACCGUUGCUCGGAAUCAUUGGGCGUAAAGCGCACGUAGGCGGCGGCGUAAGCGGGAUGUGAAAGCCCAGGGCUCAACCCUGGAAGUGCAUCCCGAACUGUGUCGCUUGAAUCUCGGAGGGGGACAGAGAAUUCCCGGUGUAGAGGUGAAAUUCGUAGAUAUCGGGAGGAAUACCAGUGGCGAAGGCGCUGUCCUGGACGAAGAUUGACGCUGAGGUGCGAAAGCGUGGGGAGCAAACAGG